RNAcentral lists this ribosomal RNA (458 nucleotides) under uncultured bacterium. RNAcentral's name for it is "bacterial SSU rRNA". It matches the Rfam family "Bacterial small subunit ribosomal RNA", at positions 29 to 524 of the family's 1533-position model. The record is from RNAcentral.
AACGAACGCUGGCGGCAUGCCUAACACAUGCAAGUCGAACGGGAUCCAGGCUUCGGCCUGGUGAGAGUGGCGGACGGGUGAGUAACGCGUGGGAACCUGCCCAAUGGUCUGGGAUAACCGCGGGAAACUGCGGCUAAUACCGGAUAAGCCCGAGAGGGGAAAGAUUUAUCGCCGAUGGAGGGGCCCGCGUCAGAUUAGGUAGUUGGUGGGGUAAUGGCCUACCAAGCCUACGAUCUGUAGCNGGCCUGAGAGGAUGAUCAGCCACACUGGGACUGAGAUACGGCCCAGACUCCUACGGGAGGCAGCAGUGGGAAUAUUGGACAAUGGGGCAACCCUGAUCCAGCAAUGCCGCGUGAGUGAUGAAGGCCUUAGGGUUGUAAAGCUCUUUUGCCAGGGACGAUGAUGACGGUACCUGGAGAAUAAGCCCCGGCUAACUUCGUGCCAGCAGCCGCAGUAAU